RNAcentral lists this transfer RNA (65 nucleotides) under Japyx solifugus. RNAcentral describes it as "tRNA-Glu". The record is from RNAcentral. Lineage: Eukaryota; Metazoa; Arthropoda; Diplura; Dicellurata; Japygidae.
UGCCAUUAUGGGGUAAUAAACACAAUACGUUUUCGACGUUUAACUAAACAUUUCUUUAAAGGGAU